This 242-nucleotide small RNA is filed under the name Arabidopsis thaliana (thale cress). RNAcentral describes it as "ATSL286380". Lineage: Eukaryota; Viridiplantae; Streptophyta; Magnoliopsida; Brassicales; Brassicaceae. The record is from RNAcentral.
UUUUUUUUUGCGGGAAAAAAGUUUGGCGGAAAAUUUUUUUUGGCGGGAAAAAAAAAUUUGACGCCAAAAAAAUGACGGGAAAAGUUCAAUUUUCAAUUACAUGUUUCUAUUAGAUGAGGGUAAUUUGGUCAUUUUGUUCCAGAAAAAGAGUAUUUUUAAAAAUGGACGACAUAAAAGGGUAUUGUUACAAAAGGGUAGUGAAAAAAGGGUAGUUUUGCAAAUCUUCUAAACAAAAAAUGGUU